GAUGAAGAACGUAGCGAAACGCGAUAAGUAGUGUGAAUUGCAGAAUUCAGUGAAUCAUCGAAUCUUUGAACGCACAUUGCGCCCCUUGGUAUUCCAUGGGGCAUGCCUGUUCGAGCGUCAUUUGUACCUUCAAGCUUUGCUUGGUGUUGGGUGUUUGUCUCGCCUUUGCGUGUAGACUCGCCUUAAAAUAAUUGGCAGCCGGCGUAUUGAUUUCGGAGCGCAGUACAUCUCGCGCUUUGCACUCAUAACGACAGCGUCCAAAAGUACAUUUUACACUCUUGACCUCGGAUCAGGUAGGGAUACCCGCUGAACUUAAGCAUAUCAAUAAGCGGAGGA
This 336-nucleotide unclassified non-coding RNA is filed under the name soil metagenome. RNAcentral describes it as "partial contains 5.8S ribosomal RNA, internal transcribed spacer 2, and large subunit ribosomal RNA". The stretch from base 1 to 120 matches the Rfam family "5.8S ribosomal RNA", at positions 35 to 154 of the family's 154-position model. The record is from RNAcentral.